Molecule: ribosomal RNA, 391 nt
Filed under: uncultured organism
Description: bacterial SSU rRNA
Rfam family: Bacterial small subunit ribosomal RNA
Source: RNAcentral
UGCCUAACACAUGCAAGUCGAGCCAGAAAGCUCCUUCGGGAGUAAGUACAGCGGCAGACGGGUGAGUAACGCGUGAGAAUCUGCCCUUUAGUGGAGAAUACCUCCGAGAAAUCGGGGUUAAUACUGCAUACGUACAUCGCGAAAGCGAUGUAGAAAGAUGGCUUAUUUGCUGUCGCUAAAGGAUGAGCUUGCGUACUAUUAGCUAGUUGGUGAGGUAAUGGCUCACCAAGGCGAAGAUGGUUAACCGGCCUGAGAGGGUGUACGGUCACACUGGAACUUAGACACGGUCCAGACUCCUACGGGAGGCAGCAGUGAGGAAUCUUGCGCAAUGGGCGAAAGCCUGACGCAGCGACGCCGCGUGGAGGAUGAAGGUUUUCGGAUUGUAAACUCC